GUAAGUUCAUUCCGCCAGGUUUUCACCUGCGUGAAGUGAGAGGGCUGGAUAUGGAGCUCUCCAGAGAGCCCCCCUCCCAACUCCGGGAGAGGAGGCCACAGAGGCUGGGAGCCCUGGCUCUGGAGUCAGCUGCAGGCUCGGUUGUGUGACCUUGAGCAAGUCACUUGCCACCCUAUCUUAGCUGAAUGACCGAAUGCAGGUGAUGCUGAAACUCCUGAAGGAAUCGUGUCAUCUUGAGCUGCUCAAGUUUAUUUCCACUAAAAAUACACCCUGAAACUGGGGCACAAUGAAGGAUUUCUGACAAAUGGGGAAGAGGAAUAAAUAAAAACUCUGGGGCCUUCUGAUUCUUCACUGAGUCACCUCCAAAUACUCACCAGUGAGCUGAGCUUGGACUCUCUCCACUCGUCGCUGUCAUCAGUAAAAGCUCAGGCAGUCCGUGUGGUCUGGGAGCUUAAAAGUCUCGAAGCUUGUGAGUCAUUGUUAGGAGAGGCCCCUGAUGGAACUGAACCCUGCAUCUACCAGGGAGGAAACAGAAGAACUAGAGGGGAAGUGACUUGGUCCUGCACCAUUCGGAUGAGUGUGCUGGAGAGGGACUUAGAGCCUGCACCCGGCCUCCUCACUUCACCACCCCAACUCCCCAGUCUUCCCAAGCCCCCCGCCUGCACCCAGCACCUGUGUCUGCCGUUCCUGUGGCACAUCUUAAGGCAGCCUAGGCAUGCCAGGGGGCGGUCAAUGAGAGAAUCCUCAGUUAGCAAUAAAGAAUGCUUUCAGCUUCAGGUUACAGAAAACCAGAUCAAUGGCAGCUCAACUGUAAGGACAUUAGUGUUGACUCAUUGAGACUAGGGAGGGAGGUAGCCCCAGGCUGAGACCACUGACUCAGCCAUGUCAAGAAGGAUCCAAGUUCCCCACUCUGCCAUUCUGGGGAUUUUAACUCUUUACCCUCAAGCUUAUUGCCUCAUAUCACAAAAUGGUUGCCACGGCUCUGGAUAUCAAGUCCUUAUAAAUAGUAUGCAAAGCUAAAAGGAGUUACCUAAAAAAAAAAAAGUUUCCUUCUCUGCCUUCUCCUUGGGUAGCUCUCUCUCUUCUGUGCAUACGUAUGUGCCCAGUCAAAUCCAACUCUUUGUGACCCCAUGAACUAUAGCCCCCCAGGCUCCUCUAUCCAUGGGAUUUUUCAGGCAAGAAUACUGGAG
Long non-coding RNA from Bos taurus (domestic cattle), 1190 nucleotides. NCBI's taxonomy places the organism in Eukaryota, Metazoa, Chordata, Mammalia, Artiodactyla, Bovidae. The record is from Ensembl.